UCUGGUGAUCCUGCCGGGACCCGACUGCUAUCAGAGUGGGACUAAGCCAUGCGAGUCAACGUAGUAAUACGUGGCAUACGGCUCAGUAACACGUAGUCAACAUGCCCAGGGGACGUGGAUAACCUCGGGAAACUGAGGAUAAACCGCGAUAGGCCAUAAUUCCUGGAAUGGUUUAUGACUGAAACCUACAUGGCCCCUGGAUUGGACUGCGGCCGAUCAGGCUGUUGGUGAGGUAAUGGCCCACCAAACCUAUAACCGGUACGGGCUCUGAGAGGAGAAGCCCGGAGAUGGGCACUGAGACAAGGGCCCAGGCCCUAUGGGGCGCAGCAGGCGCGAAACCUCUGCAAUGGGCGAAAGCCUGACAGGGUUACUCUGAGUGAUUUCCGCUAAGGAGAUCUUUUGGCAGCUCUAAAAAUGGUGCAGAAUAAGGGGUGGGCAAGUCUGGUGUCAGCCGCCGCGGUAAUACCAGCACCCCGAGUGGUCGGGACGAUUAUUGGGCCUAAAGCAUCCGUAGCCGGUUGUGCAAGUCCUCCGUUAAAUCCAGCCGCUCAACGGAUGGGCUGCGGAGGAUACUACAGGACUAGGAGGCGGGAGAGGCAAGCGGUACUUAGUGGGUAGGGGUAAAAUCCUUUGAUCCAUUGAAGACCACCAGUGACGAAGGCGGCUUGCCAGAACGCGCUCGACGGUGAGGGAUGAAAGCUGGGGGAGCAAACCGGAUUAGAUACCCGGGUAGUCCCAGCUGUAAACGAUGCCGACUCGGUGAUGGGCUAGCCUCGUGUCAGCCCAGUGCCGCAGGGAAGCCGUUAAGUCUGCCGCCUGGGGAGUACGGUCGCAAGACUGAAACUUAAAGGAAUUGGCGGGGGAGCACCACAAGGGGUGAAGCCUGCGGGUUCAUUGGGACUCACGCCGGG
This 911-nucleotide ribosomal RNA is filed under the name uncultured archaeon. RNAcentral describes it as "bacterial SSU rRNA". It matches the Rfam family "Archaeal small subunit ribosomal RNA", at positions 1 to 922 of the family's 1478-position model. The record is from RNAcentral.